CAAUAGCGUAUAUUAAAGUUGUUGCAGUUAAAAGCUCGUAGUUGGAUUUGUGGCCGUCUCGACCGGCCUGGCACUUAGUGCUGGCGUUUGGUUGAGUCGCCAUCCUUGGGUGGAACCUGUGUGGCAUUAGGUUGUCGUGCAGGGGAUGCCCAUCGUUUACUGUGAAAAAUUAGAGUGUUCAAAGCAGGCUUAUGCCGUUGAAUAUAUUAGCAUGGAAUAAUAAGAUAGGACCUUGGUACUAUUUUGUUGGUUUGCGCACCAAGGUAAUGAUUAAUAGGGACAGUUGGGGGUAUUCGUAUUCCAUUGUCAGAGGUGAAAUUCUUGGAUUUUUGGAAGACGAACUACUGCGAAAGCAUUUACCAAGGAUGUUUUCAUUAAUCAAGAACGAAAGUUAGGGGAUCGAAGAUGAUCAGAUACCAU
RNAcentral lists this ribosomal RNA (420 nucleotides) under uncultured eukaryote. RNAcentral describes it as "SSU rRNA". It matches the Rfam family "Eukaryotic small subunit ribosomal RNA", at positions 592 to 1018 of the family's 1831-position model. The record is from RNAcentral.